RNAcentral lists this transfer RNA (81 nucleotides) under Alosa alosa (allis shad). Its description in RNAcentral is "tRNA-OTHER". Lineage: Eukaryota; Metazoa; Chordata; Actinopteri; Clupeiformes; Clupeidae. The record is from RNAcentral.
GUGGAGGUAGUGUAGUGGUGAAAGAGCUGUGCUAGCAUGCAGUAGCCUGAAAAGUUGCGGGUUCAAUACCCGGCUUCCACC